RNAcentral lists this ribosomal RNA (293 nucleotides) under uncultured bacterium. Its description in RNAcentral is "partial 16S ribosomal RNA". It matches the Rfam family "Bacterial small subunit ribosomal RNA", at positions 347 to 629 of the family's 1533-position model. The record is from RNAcentral.
GGCAGCAGUGGGGAAUAUUGCGCAAUGGGGGAAACCCUGACGCAGCGACGCCGCGUGGAUGAUGAAGGCCUUCGGGUUGUAAAGUCCUAUUCUGGGGGACGAAACCUUAAGGGUCCAAUAGGCCCUUAAGCUGACGGUACCCCAAGAGAAAGCUCCGGCUAAUUAUGUGCCAGCAGCCGCGGUAAUACAUAAGGAGCAAGCGUUGUCCGGAAAUUAUUGGGCGUAAAGAGCUCGUAGGCGGUCUUAAAAAGUCAGGUGUGAAAAUUAUCAGGCUUAACCUGGUAAGGUCGAGG